UCCUCCCUCUGUCGGCAUGCCUAACACAUGCAAGUCGAACGAGACCUUCGGGUCUAGUGGCGCACGGGUGCGUAACGCGUGGGAACCUGCCCUUAGGUUCGGAAUAACUCCCCGAAAGGGGUGCUAAUACCGGAUAAUGUCUUCGGACCAAAGAUUUAUCGCCUUUGGAUGGGCCCGCGUUGGAUUAGCUAGUUGGUAGGGUAAAAGCCUACCAAGGCGACGAUCCAUAGCUGGUCUGAGAGGAUGAUCAGCCACACUGGGACUGAGACACGGCCCAGACUCCUACGGGAGGCAGCAGUGGGGAAUAUGGGACAAUGGGCGAAAGCCUGAUCCAGCAAGGCCGCGGGAGUGAUGAAGGCCUUAGGGUUGUAAAGCUCUUUUACCCGGGAUGAUAAUGACAGUACCGGGAGAAUAAGCUCCGGCUAACUCCGU
This 432-nucleotide ribosomal RNA is filed under the name uncultured bacterium. Its description in RNAcentral is "partial 16S ribosomal RNA". It matches the Rfam family "Bacterial small subunit ribosomal RNA", at positions 36 to 506 of the family's 1533-position model. The record is from RNAcentral.